AUUGAACGCUGGCGGCAGGCCUAACACGUGCAAGUCGAACGGUAACAGGAAGAAGCUUGCUUCUUUGCUGACGAGUGGCGGACGGGUGAGUAAUGUCUGUGAAACUGCCUGAUGGAGGGGGAUAACUACUGGAAACGGUAGCUAAUACCGCAUAACGUCGCAAGCCCAAAGCGGGGGACCUUCGGGCCCCUUGCCAUCGCAUGUGCCCAGAUGGGAUUAGCUAGUAGGUGGGGUAACGGCUCACCCAGGCGACGAUCCCUAGCUGGUCUGAGAGGAUGACCAGCCACACUGGAACUGAGACACGGUCCAGACUCCUACGGGAGGCAGCAGUGGGGAAUAUUGCACAAUGGGCGCAAGCCUGAUGCAGCCAUGCCGCGUGUAUGAAGAAGGCCUUCGGGUUGUAAAGUACUUUCAGCGGGGAGGAAGGGAGUAAAGUUAAUACCUUUACUCAUUGACGUUACCCGCAGAAGAAGCACCGGCUAACUCCGUG
Molecule: ribosomal RNA, 490 nt
Filed under: uncultured bacterium
Lineage: Bacteria
Description: partial 16S ribosomal RNA
Rfam family: Bacterial small subunit ribosomal RNA
Source: RNAcentral